This 494-nucleotide ribosomal RNA is filed under the name uncultured bacterium SY3-10. RNAcentral's name for it is "bacterial SSU rRNA". It matches the Rfam family "Bacterial small subunit ribosomal RNA", at positions 8 to 494 of the family's 1533-position model. Lineage: Bacteria; Pseudomonadati; Bacteroidota; Flavobacteriia; Flavobacteriales; Flavobacteriaceae. The record is from RNAcentral.
AGAGUUUGAUCCUGGCUCAGGAUGAACGCUAGCGGCAAGCUUAAUACAUGCAAGUCGAGGGGUAGCAUGAAGUAGCAAUACUUUGAUGGCGACCGGCAAACGGGUGCGGAACACGUACACAACCUUCCUUUUAGUGGGGAAUAGCCCAGAGAAAUUUGGAUUAAUACCCCGUAACAUAACGAUGUGGCAUCACAUUGUUAUUAUAGCUUCGGCGCUAGAUGAUGGGUGUGCGUAUGAUUAGAUAGUUGGCGAGGUAACGGCUCACCAAGUCUACGAUCAUUAGCUGAUGUGAGAGCAUGAUCAGCCACACGGGCACUGAGACACGGGCCCGACUCCUACGGGAGGCAGCAGUAAGGAAUAUUGGUCAAUGGACGCAAGUCUGAACCAGCUAUGCCGCGUGAAGGAUUAAGGUCCUCUGGAUUGUAAACUUCUUUUAUCUGGGACGAAAAAAGGUCUUUCUAGGAUCACUUGACGGUACCAGAUGAAUAAGCACC